Molecule: ribosomal RNA, 835 nt
Filed under: uncultured bacterium
Lineage: Bacteria
Description: bacterial SSU rRNA
Rfam family: Bacterial small subunit ribosomal RNA
Source: RNAcentral
GAUGAACGCUGGCGGCGUGCCUAACACAUGCAAGUCGAGCGAAGCACUUUACUUGAUUUCUUCGGAUUGAAGGUAUAGUGACUGAGCGGCGGACGGGUGAGUAACGCGUGGGUAACCUGCCUCAUACAGGGGGAUAACAGUUAGAAAUGACUGCUAAUACCGCAUAAGACCACAGCACCGCAUGGUGCGGGGGUAGAAACUCCGGUGGUAUGAGAUGGACCCGCGUCUGAUUAGCUAGUUGGUAAGGUAAGGGCUUACCAAGGCGACGAUCAGUAGCCGACCUGAGAGGGUGACCGGCCACAUUGGGACUGAGACACGGCCCAAACUCCUACGGGAGGCAGCAGUGGGGAAUAUUGCACAAUGGGGGAAACCCUGAUGCAGCGACGCCGCGUGAGUGAUGAAGUAUUUCGGUAUGUAAAGCUCUAUCAGCAGGGAAGAAAAUGACGGUACCUGACUAAGAAGCACCGGCUAAAUACGUGCCAGCAGCCGCGGUAAUACGUAUGGUGCAAGCGUUAUCCGGAUUUACUGGGUGUAAAGGGAGCGUAGACGGAGAGGCAAGUCUGAUGUGAAAACCCGGGGCUCAACCCCGGGACUGCAUUGGAAACUGUUUUUCUAGAGUGUCGGAGAGGCAAGUGGAAUUCCUAGUGUAGCGGUGAGAUGCGUAGAUAUUAGGAGGAACACCAGUGGCGAAGGCGGCUUGCUGGACGAUGACUGACGUUGAGGCUCGAAAGCGUGGGGAGCAAACAGGAUUAGAUACCCUGGUAGUCCACGCCGUAAACGCUGAAUACGAGGUGUCGGGUGGCAAAGCCAUUCGGUGCCGCAGCAAACGCAAUAA